AACUGGUUAUUAGAUUGGCGAAUGCGGGCGGGCAGGCUGGCGGGCGGGCGGAACAAGCUUGUCCGGGCCAUAACUAUGUCGUUCAUUGUCAGAUUUUAAAAUCAUUUGGCACAUUUGUUCACCAUCAUUGGACGGUGUGUCGCGCGAAAUAAUUAUGUCGAUAUCUCCAAGGUCAAGGUCACACUUUGAGUUCAAAGGUCAAAAAUGGCCAUAAAUGAGCUUGUCCGAGCCAUAACUAUGUCGUUCAUUGUCAGAUUUUAAAAUCAUUUGGCACAUUUGUUCACCAUCAUUAGACGGUGUGUCGCGCGAAAUAAUUACGUCGAUAUCUCCAAGGUCAAGGUCACACUUUGAGUUCAAAGGUCAAAAAUGGCCAUAAAUGAGCUUGUCCGAGCCAUAACUAUGUCGUUCAUCGUCAGAUUUUAAAAUCAUUUGGCACAUUUGUUCACCAUCAUUGGACGGUGUGUCGCGCGAAAUAAUUACGUCGAUAUCUCCAAGGUCAAGGUCACACUUUGAGUUCAAAGGUCAAAAAUGGCCAUAAAUGAGCUUGUCCUGGCCAUAACUAUGUCAUUCAUUGUGAGAUUUUAAAAUCAUUUCGCACAUUUAUUCACCAUCAUGGGACGGUGUGUCCCACAAAAGAAUCACGUCAAUAUCUCCAAUGUCAAGGUCGCCACGACUAAAAAUAGAUUUAAAAAAAAAAAAUAAUUACAAAGGGGGUUAAUUUUUUUUGGUCAUUUCAAAAGUUCAGUUUGAGUUUUCUCCCUUUAUCAGAUUUUUUUUUCACAAUGAAAACCUGGUUUUGUGACAAUUUUGUCCCUUGUUA
This is a long non-coding RNA of Dreissena polymorpha, 820 nucleotides long. RefSeq lists it as uncharacterized. NCBI's taxonomy places the organism in Eukaryota, Metazoa, Mollusca, Bivalvia, Myida, Dreissenidae. The record is from RefSeq and is a predicted model, not a curated record. The transcript is spliced from 3 exons.